CUGGGGCGGGAAGAAAAGAGACCGAUUCCCGCCUGCCUGCCAGCACUUCCGCCCUUUCGGCGAGGGGAGAUGGGCGGAGUCUCGGAUGCAUGCGGCCGACCUUCGACUGACAUAUGAGCGACCUUAUUGGCCGAGAUGGUGGCAGAUGAAAUACGCCAGAAACCAUCUUGCAAAAGCUCGUCUUUAAACGCCAUCAACUACAAUAGUCUGCCAUAAGCUUCAUAUCAUCAUUCAGGACCUUAUCAAUUUCUGAGAAGGACUGAGCUGGAUAGCUGCAGCAGAUGUCAUUGACAUAAAUAAACUUGCAUGAGAGUGUUACUGGCAAGUCAUUGAUGUACACAUUGAACAGUAUUGGUGAAAGAACCGAACCUUGAGGAAGACUGCUGAUCUGACACUUCCAAGAACGGCAAUGAUCGCCCAUGUGUACUCUGAACUGCCUGUUUUAGAGGAAAAGCUCUACUAUUUGACCACCUAAUGCAGGGCAACUCAAGAGAAUUACACAAAAAGCCUGUGUGCCAAACUGUGUCAUAAGCGAUGGACACAUCCAGGAAGAUGGGUUCCUGUCUUCAGAUUUUGUUGAAAACCAUUUCAAUAAAGAUGGUCAAGGCUAAGAUUUAAUCACAGGUGCUGCAUCCUUUUCUUAACCCUGCCUGCUUAACCUGCAAAACAUCAUCCAACUCCGGACAAGUUGUAAGAUAUGUAUGUAUCACAGGAAGGAAUGGAGCCUGUGAUUCUAUUGUUAGAUAUUAUAUAAUGAAAUAUGGUAUAACUGGCCCUGUAAUGAUGGCUUGGAACUUUUUGACAUAAUGAACAUGUUCAUCCAUUCCUUUAUAAAAUCUUCCAGAUCCUGACUGAUUCAGCAACCACUUCUAAAGUUUUGUGAAAAUUAAGAUGAAUGUUUAAGUUUUUUUUAAAAAUCCCUAAAAUUGGUAAAUGACUUUAAUAUGAAGAAGACUCAGAUUCACUAAAAAGGAGACAGUUUAAUACUGAACUAGCCACAGACCAAACUGUUAAAUUAAAUAUGUAGUGUUUCUGUAUAAAUAUCCCCUGUGUAAAUGUAUUAAAAUACUUUAAUUCAUUAAAAUGUUUCCCAUAAAUUAAAAAAUGGAGAGGGUGCAUAACAGAACCAAAAAAAAUUCAAGGGCUUAACAAAUGCCUUACAGUGAGUGUGUUAAAGCUGUGGUUCUCAACCAGGGGAGCAGGGACCCCUGCGGGGGCUGCGAACAAGUUUCAGGGGGUUCGCCAAAAUAAACCUGAAAUCAGGGCUGGCAAUAGUCUCGCUGGUGCCCAGGGCAGAAAGCUGAAGCCCAAGCCCCAUCACUGGGGACUGAAGCUGAAGCCUGAGCAACUUAGCUUCACAUGGCUCCCUGUGUCAUGGGGCCCCAGGCACUUGCCCUGCUUACUACCCCCUAACUCUGGCCCUGGCUUUGAAUCUACUGAAUAUGCAGCAAAACAGUUGUUGUGGCACAGGUGGGCCUUGGCGUUUCUAUAGCAUGUUGAGGGGGGAGCCUCAGAAAGAAAAAGGUUGAGAACCCCUGUUUUAAAGAGCUCAAUCCAUUUAAUAUAUCUACAAAGAUUGAGAGAUGAGUUGAUUACAGUGUCUAAGUACCAUCAUGGGAAGAAAAUACCGGUGUCUUUAAUCUAGUGGAGAAAGAUGCAGCAAGAACCAAUGGCUGGAGCUGGAACCAGACAAUUUCAAAUUGGAAAUAGGACACACGUUUUUAACAGUGAGGGUGAUAAAUCACUGGAACAACCCACCAAGGGGGGGGGGGGGUGGAUUCUCCAUCUGUUGGUGUCUUCAAAUCAGGACUAGAUCACUUCCAGAAAGAUAUGCUUUAGCCAAACACAAGUUAUUGGGUUCAAUACAAAGGUAACUGGGUGACAUUUACUAUUCUGUGAUAUACAAGAAGUCAGAUUAAAUUAUCCAUUGGUCCUUUCUGGCCUUAAACUCUAUGAAUAUAUAAACACUAUAUUUAAUUCACAUUUGAAAGCUUUCAUUGUGUGUUACGAACAUUAUACAUCAGAACAAUACACUGAUCUUAUUAAGGUCAAAUAUUUAUUUUUGUGUUUGUACAGCACCUAGACCAGUGAUUCUCAACCGGGGGUACGUGUACCUCUAGGGGUACACAGAGGUCUUCCCUGGGGUACAUCAACUCAUCUAGCUCUUUGCCUAGUUUUGUAACAGUGGCUUUUACAACAGUGAUUUCAAAAAUCAUUAGGGAAGUCCAUACAAACUAAAAUUUCAUACAGCCGAUGAUUUGUUUAUACUUCUCUAUGUACUAUAUAUUGAAAUGUAAGUACAAUAUUUGUAUUCCAAUUGGUUUAUUUUAUAAUUAUACAGUACAAAAGAGAAAGUAAGCAAUUUUUCAGUAAUAGUGUGCUGUGAUACUUUUGUAUUUUUAUGUCUGAUUUUGUAAACAAAUAGAUUUUAAGUGAGGUGAAACAGAUUCCUGAAAGGGGUACAGUAGCCUGGAAAGUUUGAGAGACACUGACCUAGACAAUGGGGCCCUGAUCCAUGAUUGGGGCACUUAGGUGCUACUUCAAUACUAAUAAUAAUACUUCAAUCUCAAACCUUGAGAAAAUAACUUGAUAGAUCAGAUUUUUCUUUAAAGGCACAAUGAUAAUUUUCUCAAAGUUUGACCACUAGUUUAUGCAGUGUGUCUAAAGUUUUAUUUACCUAAAGACAAUAUUGCAUGCAGAGACAUGAACCCAACUGUUGGAACUUUCUUUACCUAACAAAGCCCUGGUCUACACUAGGACUUUAGGUCGAAUUUAGCAAAGUUAAAUCGAUGUAAACCUGCACCUGUCCACACGAUGAAGCCCUUUAUUUCGACUUAAAGGGCUCUUAAAAUCGAUUUCCUUACUCCACCCCUGACAAGUGCGUUAGCGCUUAAAUCGGCCUUGCCGGGUCGAAUUUGGGGUACUGUGGACACAAUUCGACAGUAUGGGCCUCCGGGAGCUAUCCCAGAGUGCUCCAUUGUGACUGCUCUGGACAGCACUCUCAACUCAAAUGCACGAUUGUUUGCCGUUGCUCUGAUGCAGGGAGGGGCGACUGAUGACACGGCUUACAGGGUUGGCUUACAGGGAGGGUGGCUUUACAUCAAGGAGUAUUUCAGGCAGGACUUCACGGAGGGUUCCAAUAAGAAAUGGUGCACCUAAGUUAUUGUUCUUAUUGGAACAAGGAGGUUAGCCUGGCCUCUGAUUGAUACAUGGCUAGAUUUACCUCGCUGCACCUUCUCUGUGAGUGACUGCAGUGUGACCUAGAGAAAUGAGUCCCCUAGACGGGGGGCGGGGGGGUUUGUAAAUGAGUACAAAACAAAUCUGGUCUAUUUCUUGUUUUGAUCCACUCCAUCUAUCUUUUACAUCUUUGGCUGGCAGCAGAAGAUGCAGAAGGACUGCAUGCCAUCCACAUCUCAUGGCUGCUCGGCAGAAGAUGGUACAAUAGGACUGCUAGCCAUCCUCAUCUCUUGCCUGCCCGGCAGAAGACGAUGCAAUAGGACUGCUAGCAAUCCGUAUCACCUGCCUGCUCACCAUAAGAUGGUUCAAUAGGACUGACUGCAGGACUAAAGAGAAUGACUUGAUCAAGUCACUCCAAAUUUAGUCCCUGUGCCCAUGUCUGCCCAGGCGCUCCUGAUUGACCUCACACAGGCAACCAGGAGCACCUCGGACAUGACGAUGACGGCUACCAGUCCUAUUACACCAUCUGCUGCCACAAGGCAAUGGGUUGCUGCUGCUGUGUAGCAAUGGAGUACCGCGUCUGCCAGCACCCAGGAGACAUAGGGUGACGGUUACCUGAGCGGGCUCCAUGCUUGCCGUGGUAUGGCGUCUGCACAGGUAACUCAGGAAAAAAGGCACAAAACGAUUGUCUGCCCUUGCUUUCACGGAGGGAGGGAGGGAACGGGGGCCUGACGAUAUGUACCCAGAACCACCCGCGACAAUGUUUUAGCCCCAUCAGGCAUUGGGAUCUCAACCCAGAAUUCCAAUGGGCAGCGGAGACUGCGGGAACUGUGGGAUAGCUACCCACAGUGCAACACUCCAGAAGUCGACUCUAGGCUCGGUACUGUGGAAGCACUCCGCCGAGUUAAUUGCACUUAAUGCACUUAGAGCAUUUUCUGUGGGGACACACACACUCGAAUAUAUAAAACCGAUUUCUAAAAUAAAAGACUUCUAUAAAUUCGACCUAAUUUCGUCAUGUAGACAUACCCUUAAAAAUUUGUAAAUUUCUUAUUUGAAUGAUUGUUGAAAUUGCUUCUCAACUGCUUGUAUUAUAGAAUUUACGAAAAGUAAUUUUCAGAUGUUUUAAACUCAAAGAACUGUACUGAUAAAUUUAAUUAUGGAAGUAACAACGUUAUUGUAGUGUACAAGACAUAAUAGACUUAAUUCAGCUUUGGUGAAGGCAAGUACAUCCCCAUUUGCAUUCAGUAGGCUCAGUCCUGCAAGGAACUGAGCACUCUGGUCAUAAUCCAGAAAAGUACUUGAGGGCCAUAGUGCUCAACUCAUGGGAGGCCUGAGACCAGUGGGAAUUGUUCCUGUCCCACUAAGGCUGAAUCUGGCCUACUAUGUGAUAUAUCUUAAAUUAGCUUUCCACUUGAAAGAACAGAAAUCAAUUUGGAGUCCUUAAGUUUACAGCCCUUACUUUUAUUUAAUAUUAAUUGUAAUAAAAUUUUGGCCUGAUAUCGCAUUUUAAAAGGAAGUCCUCAUUUCCUGGAUUAACUGAACUGUGUAGAAAGUUAGGGAUGAGCCAGAGUCAAAAUGAAAAUGGUAAUAUUUUUAAUUUUGAAAAAAUCGGUUUAUAAAAACGUGUCUGGAAUUUCAUUGAGCAUUUAUGUAAUUUUAUUCUGUUAAGCAAAUUCUGUGCUUCAACUUAUCCAACUAAUCUACUCCCCACCAGCAUUUGUAGUGUGCAUGCUGAGUAAAAUGUUCUUAACAGAACAAUCUUUUCGGAUACAAAUAAGCAUGGUAAAAUACAUCACAUUUGCUCAACACUGUCCUUAUCUUCAGCAAGAUUGGUUGUUUGUAUUCAUUUGGUUGUGUAAAGAAGGAGAGCAAGUGUCUCUCUCUUCAGCAUAAAAAUUAAGAAUAGAUCUUUAGAAUUGAGACUAAGGCUUGAAAACCGAAAUGUCUAUUGAAGGUUAGGGCUCUGAGGCUUACUGUAGUCCAACUGCUUUACCAACUAAUCAAUAGCCACAGCUAAUAUGAAAGGCUGCUUCCCCCUGCCCCCCCCCUCCCCCCCCGUGUUCAGCUUUGUUAACAGAGGUAUCAACCUCAUAGAAGCAAUAUGUAAAACUUUUACAAAAUCACAGGCAUCAGAUAACUUUUUUUCAAAAGUUCAAGAUUUAGUGGCUAUUGGCAAGCCUUACUCUUCUGAGCCUUUGCAUGCUCCCAUUAAUUGAUGGAAUGACAAAAGUAACAUCACUUACCAUGUCCUUACUCUGCUUUUUGAGAAGGAAAAUUAAAUACAUUACCACCAUAUGCACUCAGCCAAAAUAAGCAGCACUUUUUUGCUAAUGAUAAAAAUGUUCUUUUCCUGGAGAACAAACUAUCAGAGUAUGGUAGCUCUAGGUGAUACCUCAAGCUCUCCAAUUCAGGAAUAUUUUAUAGUUGUUUUAAUACCUUCUUUAAUCUUUUUUCAGUGAUUAGUACCAUUUAUUAUGCUGCCCUUGUGACAUUUUAAAUAAUAUUUUACAAUAGAAUCCAAGAAAAAUAAAUGUUCUGUGGAAGCAAAAUUUUUCUGAGGUGUUAGCUUUCAGACAAUUGUGAUUUUUAUCCUAAAAGCAACAUUAAAAUCUGCUAGUACCUAAACUUUGCCGAUGUUUUCUUUUUUAUCUUUUCUGAUUGCUCACCUUUUAUAAAUGUAUUAUUGUGCCCUGUGUCAUUUUGUAGAACUGCAUAUUCAUGCCACUUAUUAACAGCUGAUGGGAAACCUAAUAAAAUGUUUUUAUGUUUCAUAA
Caretta caretta (loggerhead turtle) is the source of this 5951-nucleotide long non-coding RNA. RefSeq lists it as uncharacterized. The record is from RefSeq and is a predicted model, not a curated record. NCBI's taxonomy places the organism in Eukaryota, Metazoa, Chordata, Testudines, Cheloniidae.